UCUCACAGUGAAAUGUGCUAUGCUUACUUUGACUACUUCAUUGUCGGGAAUACAGAUCACUUCGUGUCACUAUGUUUAAUUCUUUUUCUUUCGCACACCCGUUGCAUUUCGAACGUCAGUGCUGCUUUUAUAUGAUUAUGCAACUUUAAGUGUGUCAAACAGAAUAUUCUAAAUGCAACUUCCUGCACCAAGAGUAAAUCAGUCCGACCUGCCGUAACGCAGAUUUAUUACCCACCCUUACACCAUAAAGCCAGCUUUGUGAUAAUGAAUGCUGCAUUAAUUAAUUCAUGACACAUCUUUCGCAGUGGCGACAGCUCAGGGCUGGUUGAAUUCUUUUCUACAGAGUAAAAUAAUUUCCAGAGUGGGGCCUAAAAAAAAAGACAGUUCACUGGCUGCGGAAAACACUGCAUAAAAAAUUAACUUUUGAAAUUAAAUAAAUGUGAAAUUGUUGAGCUAAGCAUUUCAGUCACUUGACAUGACAAUAUAAAAUUUUUCUGAUGUCUGAUACAGCUAAUUUCACACCUAAAUUCUGUGUCAUCUUUCUUUUUAGCAUUACUCCUGUUUAGUGACUAGCAGAAAGGAUGCAACAUUCCAAUUGAGCUUAGCUGCCCCUUUUGGAUGGUCAUUAAACGCACGAAAGGGGGCCUGUUUGAAAGAGAGCGGCAUAGUGUCCACAGCACAGUGACCACUACAAGCACCUACGUUGACUGGGACGCAGCUACCUUUGCCAGAAAGAAAGUGAAACUCCAAGGAACAAAAAAAAAAGUUGCAUAGCCAGAAUGCACAUUAAAAUCAUAGAAAUGUUCCCAAACUUCAAGGUGGAGCUUCCAGCUGAUUGUUCAACACACAAAAAGAAGGAGGCUUCAAAGGCUGCUCUUUAGAAGACUGGACAGUGCACUUUCAACAGAUAAUGAGUGCGCUGCUGCUGUGGCCCGAGGAUAUACAUUAGAUUAUGUGCAAAAGAUGGCCACACUGGACACGAUUUUGGCAUAGCAUUGAGCUAUGCACAGCCAAUGAACACGGAUGUAUCUGCAAAGAUAAACCUACUCGUCCAGCAGCGCAUCACAUCAGUCAGCAAGGUUCAAAAAUGGAUUCGUUUUUAUGAUGAUGUUUUUUCUGCCGACAAACCAAAACCACAAGUUAAUUGUAGUAUCAUAAGAAGCAAACAAACACUGACAUCAAGGACAACAUAGGAGAAAUUACUUGUGCAUAAUAAAUGAAAUAAAGAAACGGUAAAUUAAUGAAAAUGAAAGUGGAUGAAAGAUGAAAUAACAACUUGCCGCAGGUGGGGAACGAUCCCGCAACCUUCGCAUUUCAUAGCACUGGGACAUUG
Molecule: long non-coding RNA, 1333 nt
Filed under: Dermacentor andersoni
Lineage: Eukaryota; Metazoa; Arthropoda; Arachnida; Ixodida; Ixodidae
Description: uncharacterized LOC126519327
Source: RNAcentral